Molecule: ribosomal RNA, 119 nt
Organism: Callithrix jacchus (white-tufted-ear marmoset)
Lineage: Eukaryota; Metazoa; Chordata; Mammalia; Primates; Cebidae
Source: Ensembl
AUCUACGGGCAUACCACCCUGAACGCGCCCGAUCUCAUCUGAUAUCAGAAGCUAAGCAGGGUUGGGCCUGGUUAGUACUUGGUUGGGAGACUGCCUGGGAAUACUGGGUGCUGUAGGCU